Molecule: long non-coding RNA, 2811 nt
Organism: Oncorhynchus kisutch (coho salmon)
Lineage: Eukaryota; Metazoa; Chordata; Actinopteri; Salmoniformes; Salmonidae
Source: Ensembl
ACGGCUUUUCAUGACGAAGUGGUUUUCGUGUCCGAGAAGACAGGAAGAUACAACACCGUGGAAAAGGUCUUUAUUGAUCAGGUAGCUAACGUUAGAUGAGAUCACCAUAAAAUAAAUCACUAUCAAUUUAUCAAAUCACAUAAACAACAAUCAUUAUCAAUUGAUCACCAGUCAGUGUAUGUGAAUCACUGAUUUUAAUACCCCUUCCUCCACGUGUGCUGGGAUUGGCUGCCAAUUUGGAUAGACAACCUAUGAAACAUAGUACUUUAGCCAACAUAUAUUGUAAAAGUUUACUGUUAGUUUUUAAUCCAGGCUUUAUCCCCUUUAGGCUCAACGUCUGGCCCUACAGAGGGAGAUAGACAAGGAGUCCCAGUCCACGGUUUCAGUCAGAUCGCUGGUUUGUAUCUGGUUCUGUGUUGCUCUCCAAAAUGACACUGACUGCAUCCCAAAUGCCACCAUAUCCCCUAUUUAGUGCACCACCUUUGAACCAGGACACAUUGGGUCAGAAGAAGUGCACUAUAUAGAAAAUAGGGUUCAAUUUAGGACACACACGGUCAAUAUCAAUAUUGUGUCCAUUUUAAACCGAAAAUGCAUUCUCUACAAUGUCCUUGGAAGUGACUGCUUCUUUCAAACAGAUCCGUAUUGUGGGAUGUUUAUUUUUCUCAGAUGGUCCAAGCCGACACAGGCAACAGGAACGUUACCAUGAAGAAGACGAACAAGAAGAGUGGGAAGGACACCCAUGCUGAGGAUGAGAUCUCAGAAAACACUUCCAUAAACCAGGGGAAUAGCGAAGGAGUGAAGAAGAAGAAGACGAAAGUAAAGACUCUGGUAGAAGAGCAGAUUUCAUCCAAUGGGAAUGGGGGAAUACGGAAGGAGAGCAGGAGAAACAGAAAGGAAAGAAGAAGAAGUUGUCGUCUGAGACUGACACCAACGGUGAGGAAGUCAUGACUAAUGGAAAUGACGGAGGAGGGUGCGGCCAGGAGAAGAAGAAGCAGAAAGGUGUUAACACUGUUAAAAACGGAGCUACAGACAGAACACAGUGGAUUAAAGGAUGAGAAAGGAGUAGUGGAAAAUGGGCAGAAGCUGAAAAAAAAGAAGCUCUCUCAGGCAGAAGAGACAGAGAUCGGUGUUGUCAAGGUAGAGGAAGGAGAGGUGAUAGAAAUAAAGAAAGGCAAGAAAAAGAAGGGAAAAACAGAGGAAGAAAAGAAAGUGAAAAAGAUCCCUAAAGCUGCUGAACCAACAGAGAGUCAGGAGGAGGAAGAGGGGGAGAUGAAGAAGAAAAAGAAGGGUAAGAAGAGAGCAGUCGCUGAGAAAGGAGAGACUAAAGAGAGAGAGUGUGGAGAGGCAGAGAAAGAAGUGGUAGUAAAGAAGAAGAAGAAGGGAGCUGAGGCUACAGUAGUAGUACAGCAGGAGGAACAGAAUAACACCAAAAAGAAGAAGAAUAAACCCAAGUCCUCCAGCAGCGCUGCAGACACCACCAUGGAGACGGAGAGAAAGGAGGAGGGCAAGAAGAAGAAGAGAAAGGCCUCUGCACUAACAGAGGAGGAGGAUGUGUUGGUGGUGGACAAACGGAAGCCCAAACAUAUGAAAAGGGUGGACAUGACAGGAGUAGUGGAACAGGUGGAGGUCGGAGAGAGCGAGGGAAGGAAAAAGAAGGUGAAGAAGAGCUCUGAGGUAGAGACAGAAAUGGAGGACAGCACCCCUCACCAGAAAGGGAAGAAGGUUAUGACAAAGGGGAAAAAGAAGAUAAAGGUGGAGAGCUGCGACCCUGAAUACCAGGAGAGGGACCAGACGGAUGUGGUUUUCCUGUCAGAGACCAGGGGAAAACGCCUUCGAGAUCAAUAUUGAUCAGGGGAGACGCCUGGCCCUGCAGAAUGAGAUCGACCAGAAGUCCAAUCCAGUCCAACUCAAAGCAGCACCGGUACCAUCGGUCAGUACUCUUAUGAUGUCAGGACACCAAGGUGUACCCCAAAUUUGGGUCACAUACCAACUCUUCUCUGAAAAAAAUCAUUAUGUCGAAUAUAAAUAUUACAAACCGUGUUCUUCUUCUCUUCCAGGGUUUGGGCCAGUGGGGCACUGCCCAGUUUGACAGUUCCGACCAACAUAGUAAGUUCCUGCGGUUGAUGGGCGGCUUAAAGAAGAGCUGGCAGCCAAUAGCAGCGAGCGGUGCGACGGGAGGGCGGGCCAACAUGGCGCUGACUAAAGACGGACAGCAGAGUUUGCAGCAAGGCCUACUGGGGGAGUUUGAGCGUGCUCAGUCGCGCCGCAUGGACUUCACGGAAGGGGGGCGGGACUUGGGUUCUCGGCGCCGUCCAAUAAGAAGUUCUCAAUUGACAUCAACACAACCCGAUCGGUGCGCUUCGAUGACUGAGUCGGGACGGACCCUUGAGUGCGUGUCUAGCAUCCAAAAUGGAUUGGAUGAGUGUGUGUGUACCUUUUCUCUUGCAGGGUCUUGGGAGUGUCUGUCGGUGAAUGUGGUGGUAUGAAUGUAUAUACGGUACCAGUCAGAAGUUUGGACACACUUACUCAUCACAGGGUUUUUCUUUAUUUUGACUAUUUUCUACAUUGUAGAAUAAUAGUGAAUACAUCAAAACUAUGAAAUACACAUAUGGAAUCAUGUAGUAACCAAAAAAUCUAAAUAAUUUUAUAUUUGAGAUUCAAAGUAGACACCCUUUGCCUUGAUGACAACUUUGCACACUCUUGGCAAAUAUUUUAAUUGAUAUUUAGACUUUUUUUGGUUACUACAUGAUUUCAUAUGUGUUAUUUCAUAGUUUUGAGUCUUCGCUAUCAUUCUACAAUGUAGGAACAGUC